RNAcentral lists this small RNA (114 nucleotides) under Martelella endophytica. Its description in RNAcentral is "rpsB sRNA". It matches the Rfam family "rpsB sRNA". Lineage: Bacteria; Pseudomonadati; Pseudomonadota; Alphaproteobacteria; Hyphomicrobiales; Aurantimonadaceae. The record is from Rfam by way of RNAcentral.
CACACGCAGGUCAUGGGGCGUUCCGGGAGAAAUCCGGGCCGUUCCGCCGGUGUCAGGCGAUUGUUCGUCUGGUCUCAGGCCUGCGGAGGUUCAACCGGAAAAGGAAGAAAAAGC